This 1129-nucleotide long non-coding RNA is filed under the name Microcebus murinus (gray mouse lemur). RNAcentral describes it as "lncRNA (ENSMICG00000048355.1)". Lineage: Eukaryota; Metazoa; Chordata; Mammalia; Primates; Cheirogaleidae. The record is from RNAcentral.
UCUCCAGCCUGCGCCGGGUGGAGGGUCAGGGAAAGCCAGGCUUCCUGGAUGACAGGGGACCCCAGGGGCGCGUCAGGUGCAGACCUGGUGGCAGCUGUGUGUUUCGAUGCGUGUCCCGGGCUUCCUGUUGGGCAAGCCCGUGGGCUGCAAGUGGAGGGCGGAGCCGCGGUGUGCAGGACCCCGGUGUGCGAUGACUCCGCAGGUGAGGGGUCUGGGACCAGGAGGAGCUCCUGAGCCUACAAGUAUUCGCGACGAGUCUUCUCACAUUGCUGGUUCAAACUCCUGGACUCAAGCAUCCUCCCACCUCAGCCUCUCAGAACGCUGGGAUUACAGGCACAAGCCACCACAUGCACUCAUUCCUCACGAUUUCUGAUGACAAACUGGAGAGGUCCCAGAGCAUAUAGACCUUGAUUGAAUCAGGGGCAGAAUGAAGUCAGGAGAAACCUGGUUUUGGAGCCACGUAAGUGUAAAGUAAGGUCUCAACUCGGAGCCCCAUCAGAGCAUCAGACUCAGUACUAAUUCCUUCCAGCCGCUACUGUGUUUGUCCUGCGAUAACUGGUGUUUGCAGGAAGGAGAAGUAGUUACGUGUGCAGAAAAGUGCAUGAAAUUAGAAAACGUGGACAUGAUUCAGGGAGUGAGAGGGACCCUUGUCUCUUCCAAGGUAGCGGUGGGGCUCUCUGUCCCUUGUCCUGAUCCAUCAAGUGCAGAAGAGAAACUUCCUGCUCUGAGUGAAGUGACCAACAGCGGAAGUUGGAAUGAAGAGAAUCAGGGGCAGCCUCUCUCCCCCCCCAGCCCAGCAAACCUAAGGCAAGGGCUUGGGCUCUGACACUUGGUUCUCAACAUGUGUUUUCCUUCUCUGGUUAAGAAAAGAACCACAUAUAAGAGGAACCAAGGGCUGCAGCUAUUGUGGUACCCAGAGAACUGGGCCAGGGACCAAUGGUGCCAUGUGCUUGUCACUGCUCCACCACUAAGUUGCUGUGACCUCAAGACUCUCUGCCCCUGGAGCCUUUUUGUUGUUGUUGAGUCAGAGUCUCACUCUGUUGCCUGAGCUAGAGUGCCCUGGCGUCAGCCUAGCUCACAGCAACCUCAGAAGAUGGUGGAGCCCGCUAGGAGCAGAGCAGGGAGACCG